UAUGUGAUCGUCUCUCGCAUAUCAAUAAGCGGAGGAAAAGAAACUAACAAGGAUUCCCCUAGUAACGGCGAGUGAAGCGGGAAGAGCUCAAAUUUGAAAUCUUAAAGGGUUUCCCUUUACGAAUUGUAGUUUAAAGAAGUGUUUUCUGUUGAGGUUUUGGUAAAAGUUCUUUGGAAUAGGACAUCAUAGAGGGUGAGAAUCCCGUAUUUGACCUUUACUUUCAACUUUGUGAUACACUUUCAAAGAGUCGGAUUGUUUGGGAAUGCAGUCCAAAAUGGGUGGUAAAUUUCAUCUAAAGCUAAAUAUUGGCGAGAGACCGAUAGCGAACAAGUACCGUGAGGGAAAGAUGAAAAGAACUUUGAAAAGAGAGUUAAACAGUACGUGAAAUUGUCAAAAGGGAAGCGUUUGACACCAGUGUUGUUUUUCUGAAAAUCAAUUAAAGAACUGUUUAUGCUAAGCUGUUUAGACUUUAUCAGCUAACUGUUUAGUUUUGAGCUUUUCUUUAAUGCACUUUUCAGUUAACAAGUCAACAUCAAUUUCUUUUGCCGUAAAAAAGCUUGAGGAAGGUGGCUUGAGAUUCGUCUUAAGUGUUUAUAGCCUCUUGCCUAUGCAGUCGGAGAGAUUGAGGUCUGCAGCGUAGAUCCUUCGGGGCUAAAUGCAUUUGUGCUAAGUUAUAGCAUUUUAUAGACAACUUGUUGACUAUGAUUUGUCUUGUAGCUUACUCGCUUAUGUUAUUUUACCUACGCUUAGGAUGUUGAACGCGCACAGAGUCUC
This 774-nucleotide ribosomal RNA is filed under the name uncultured Neocallimastigales. Its description in RNAcentral is "partial large subunit ribosomal RNA". It matches the Rfam family "Eukaryotic large subunit ribosomal RNA", at positions 24 to 635 of the family's 3401-position model. The record is from RNAcentral. Lineage: Eukaryota; Fungi; Neocallimastigomycota; Neocallimastigomycetes; Neocallimastigales.